Molecule: transfer RNA, 84 nt
Filed under: bacterium
Lineage: Bacteria
Description: tRNA-Leu
Rfam family: tRNA
About the family: Transfer RNA (tRNA) molecules are approximately 80 nucleotides in length.
Source: RNAcentral
GCUCCCGUGGUGGAAUGGUAGACACGAGACACUUAAAAUGUCUUUCCAAGCGGAGUACCGGUUCGAGUCCGGUCGGGAGUACCA